RNAcentral lists this long non-coding RNA (468 nucleotides) under Mus musculus (house mouse). RNAcentral describes it as "long non-coding RNA chr2:106916770-106917238". The record is from RNAcentral. Lineage: Eukaryota; Metazoa; Chordata; Mammalia; Rodentia; Muridae.
AGAAAGCAUGAACCUGUUCAGAGAUGCACUAUGGAUGCCAAUCUUAGAGCUCUCAAUGUGUUUAUUGUAUAAAAAGUGUGCAUUUGUAUUGGGGGGAUAGAAUUCCUAGACUGACAGAUACUACUACCCCUCAGUGGUUGGGGUCUAAAAGAGCUAACAUAAUCUGAAAGCUUUUCAGUCUCUCCAAAGAUGGUGAUGUUGACUAAUAUGUUGUCAAAAAAAAAUCCAUAAACAAAGAAGGUAGGAGGUCCAGGAUCAAAGCACCCAAGAUUCAGUGGCCUGUGAUUCUGUGCAUUCUACAACACAAAAUCUGAUGAAUUCCUUAGAAACACUAGGGAAAAUGAGGAGGAGGCUGCAUAAUAUGCUAAAACUUUGGCCAAGAGAAUGAAGGCAGCCAAAGACAAACGCCAGGAACAGAUUGCCAAGAGAUGUAGGCAGUCCUCGAGGAAAGCUGAUGCUUCUAAGUCC